Molecule: ribosomal RNA, 497 nt
Filed under: uncultured bacterium
Lineage: Bacteria
Description: partial 16S ribosomal RNA
Rfam family: Bacterial small subunit ribosomal RNA
Source: RNAcentral
GAUGAACGCUGGCGGCGUGCCUAAUACAUGCAAGUCGAGCGAACAGAUGAGGAGCUUGCUCCUCUGACGUUAGCGGCGGACGGGUGAGUAACACGUGGAUAACCUACCUAUAAGACUGGGAUAACUUCGGGAAACCGGAGCUAAUACCGGAUAAUAUAUUGAACCGCAUGGUUCAAUAGUGAAAGACGGUUUUGCUGUCACUUAUAGAUGGAUCCGCCCCGCAUUAGCUAGUUGGUAAGGUAACGGCUUACCAAGGCGACGAUGCGUAGCCGACCUGAGAGGGUGAUCGGCCACACUGGAACUGAGACACGGUCCAGACUCCUACGGGAGGCAGCAGUAGGGAAUCUUCCGCAAUGGGCGAAAGCCUGACGGAGCAACGCCGCGUGAGUGAUGAAGGUCUUCGGAUCGUAAAACUCUGUUAUUAGGGAAGAACAAAUGUGUAAGUAACUAUGCACGUCUUGACGGUACCUAAUCAGAAAGCCACGGCUAACUACGUG